RNAcentral lists this ribosomal RNA (112 nucleotides) under Caerostris extrusa. Lineage: Eukaryota; Metazoa; Arthropoda; Arachnida; Araneae; Araneidae. The record is from RNAcentral.
AACGGCCAUACCAUGCUGAAUAUACCGGUUCUCGUUAGAUCACCGAAGUCAAGCAUGAUUGGGCGCGGUCAGUACUUGGGUGGGUGACCACCUGGGAACACCGCGUGCUGUU